This 203-nucleotide long non-coding RNA is filed under the name Vigna radiata. RNAcentral's name for it is "long non-coding RNA (VRAD_LNC003879)". Lineage: Eukaryota; Viridiplantae; Streptophyta; Magnoliopsida; Fabales; Fabaceae. The record is from RNAcentral.
UAUUUAGUGAUGUUGAUGGAUGGCACCCUACCAUAAGUUAUUAUUUAAUGAUGGUCCUUGUACAUUUGCUGGAUGCAAUUACGAGACUCAAAGAAGUAUUAUUUGAAACUGUAGGAAUUGCUUGACUAACAAUGUAUGAAACGUGCCAUGUUUAUUAUUUUUUGUUUUAAUUACCUAUUUACUCUGUCAAAGGUAUGAGAACA